ACUCAGUGAAAUUGAACUCGCUGUGAAGAUGCAGUGUACCCGCGGCAAGACGGAAAGACCCCGUGAACCUUUACUAUAGCUUGACACUGAACAUUGAGCCUUGAUGUGUAGGAUAGGUGGGAGGCUUAGAAGUGUGGACGCCAGUCUGCAUGGAGCCGACCUUGAAAUACCACCCUUUAAUGUUUGAUGUUCUAACGUUGACCCGUAAUCCGGGUUGCGGACAGUGUCUGGUGGGUAGUUUGACUGGGGCGUUCU
RNAcentral lists this ribosomal RNA (255 nucleotides) under Escherichia coli. Its description in RNAcentral is "partial 23S ribosomal RNA". It matches the Rfam family "Bacterial large subunit ribosomal RNA", at positions 2031 to 2285 of the family's 2925-position model. Lineage: Bacteria; Pseudomonadati; Pseudomonadota; Gammaproteobacteria; Enterobacterales; Enterobacteriaceae. The record is from RNAcentral.